RNAcentral lists this ribosomal RNA (3211 nucleotides) under Salmonella enterica subsp. enterica serovar Derby. Its description in RNAcentral is "bacterial LSU rRNA". It matches the Rfam family "Bacterial large subunit ribosomal RNA". Lineage: Bacteria; Pseudomonadati; Pseudomonadota; Gammaproteobacteria; Enterobacterales; Enterobacteriaceae. The record is from RNAcentral.
ACUAAGCGUACACGGUGGAUGCCCUGGCAGUCAGAGGCGAUGAAGGACGUGCUAAUCUGCGAUAAGCGCCGGUAAGGUGAUAUGAACCGUUAUAACCGGCGAUUUCCGAAUGGGGAAACCCAGUGUGAUUCGUCACACUAUCAUUAACUGAAUCCAUAGGUUAAUGAGGCGAACCGGGGGAACUGAAACAUCUAAGUACCCCGAGGAAAAGAAAUCAACCGAGAUUCCCCCAGUAGCGGCGAGCGAACGGGGAGGAGCCCAGAGCCUGAAUCAGCAUGUGUGUUAGUGGAAGCGUCUGGAAAGGCGCGCGAUACAGGGUGACAGCCCCGUACACAAAAGCGCAUGUGCUGUGAGCUCGAUGAGUAGGGCGGGACACGUGGUAUCCUGUCUGAAUAUGGGGGGACCAUCCUCCAAGGCUAAAUACUCCUGACUGACCGAUAGUGAACCAGUACCGUGAGGGAAAGGCGAAAAGAACCCCGGCGAGGGGAGUGAAAAAGAACCUGAAACCGUGUACGUACAAGCAGUGGGAGCUGAGGGAAAGGCGAAAAGAACCCCGGCGAGGGGAGUGAAAAAGAACCUGAAACCGUGUACGUACAAGCAGUGGGAGCCCCACCACUAAGCCAGUGGUGAACUCCACAUACGCAUCCUUUGCUGAGGAUACGGUUAACGGAGCGCAAGCGACGUUCAACCGCAAAAGAAGCAGAGGGGGCUUAGUGGUGGGGUGACUGCGUACCUUUUGUAUAAUGGGUCAGCGACUUAUAUUCUGUAGCAAGGUUAACCGUAUAGGGGAGCCGGAGGGAAACCGAGUCUUAAUUGGGCGUUAAGUUGCAGGGUAUAGACCCGAAACCCGGUGAUCUAGCCAUGGGCAGGUUGGGCGUUAAGUUGCAGGGUAUAGACCCGAAACCCGGUGAUCUAGCCAUGGGCAGGUUGAAGGUUGGGUAACACUAACUGGAGGACCGAACCGACUAAUGUUGAAAAAUUAGCGGAUGACCUGUGGCUGGGGGUGAAAGGCCAAUCAAACCGGGAGAUAGCUGGUUCUCCCCGAAAGCUAUUUAGGUAGCGCCUCGUGAAUUCAUCUCCGGGGGUAGAGCACUGUUUCGGCUAGGGGGCCAUCCCGGCUUACCAACCCGAUGCAAACUGCGAAUACCGGAGAAUGUUAUCACGGGAGACACACGGCGGGUGCUAACGUCCGUCGUGAAGAGGGAAACAACCCAGACCGCCAGCUAAGGUCCCAAAGUCAUGGUUAAGUGGGAAACGAUGUGGGAAGGCCCAGACAGCCAGGAUGUUGGCUUAGAAGCAGCCAUCAUUUAAAGAAAGCGUAAUAGCUCACUGGUCGAGUCGGCCUGCGCGGAAGAUGUAACGGGGCUAAACCAUGCACCGAAGCUGCGGCAGCGAACGUAUCACUUAAAGCGAUUCAGCGGGUUACGAUUGACGGAGCGAAGCGACGUCAAAGCGUAUACAAAGUCGAGUCGGUUUAAGGAUACGUUCGUUGGGUAGGGGAGCGUUCUGUAAGCCUGUGAAGGUGGCCUGUGAGGGUUGCUGGAGGUAUCAGAAGUGCGAAUGCUGACAUAAGUAACGAUAAAGCGGGUGAAAAGCCCGCUCGCCGGAAGACCAAGGGUUCCUGUCCAACGUUAAUCGGGGCAGGGUGAGUCGACCCCUAAGGCGAGGCCGAAAGGCGUAGUCGAUGGGAAACGGGUUAAUAUUCCCGUACUUGGUGUUACUGCGAAGGGGGGACGGAGAAGGCUAUGUUGGCCGGGCGACGGUUGUCCCGGUUUAAGCGUGUAGGUGUGUGUUCCAGGUAAAUCCGGUUCACUUUAACACUGAGGCGUGAUGACGAGGCACUACGGUGCUGAAGCAACAAAUGCCCUGCUUCCAGGAAAAGCCUCUAAGCAUCAGGUAACAUCAAAUCGUACCCCAAACCGACACAGGUGGUCAGGUAGAGAAUACCAAGGCGCUUGAGAGAACUCGGGUGAAGGAACUAGGCAAAAUGGUGCCGUAACUUCGGGAGAAGGCACGCUGACAUGUAGGUGAAGUGAUUUACUCAUGGAGCUGAAGUCAGUCGAAGAUACCAGCUGGCUGCAACUGUUUAUUAAAAACACAGCACUGUGCAAACACGAAAGUGGACGUAUACGGUGUGACGCCUGCCCGGUGCCGGAAGGUUAAUUGAUGGGGUCAGCGCAAGCGAAGCUCCUGAUCGAAGCCCCGGUAAACGGCGGCCGUAACUAUAACGGUCCUAAGGUAGCGAAAUUCCUUGUCGGGUAAGUUCCGACCUGCACGAAUGGCGUAAUGAUGGCCAGGCUGUCUCCACCCGAGACUCAGUGAAAUUGAACUCGCUGUGAAGAUGCAGUGUACCCGCGGCAAGACGGAAAGACCCCGUGAACCUUUACUAUAGCUUGACACUGAACAUUGAGCCUUGAUGUGUAGGAUAGGUGGGAGGCUUUGAAGCGUGGACGCCAGUCUGCAUGGAGCCGGCCUUGAAAUACCACCCUUUAAUGUUUGAUGUUCUAACGUGGACCCGUGAUCCGGGUUGCGGACAGUGUCUGGUGGGUAGUUUGACUGGGGCGGUCUCCUCCUAAAGAGUAACGGAGGAGCACGAAGGUUGGCUAAUCCUGGUCGGACAUCAGGAGGUUAGUGCAAUGGCAUAAGCCAGCUUGACUGCGAGCGUGACGGCGCGAGCAGGUGCGAAAGCAGGUCAUAGUGAUCCGGUGGUUCUGAAUGGAAGGGCCAUCGCUCAACGGAUAAAAGGUACUCCGGGGAUAACAGGCUGAUACCGCCCAAGAGUUCAUAUCGACGGCGGUGUUUGGCACCUCGAUGUCGGCUCAUCACAUCCUGGGGCUGAAGUAGGUCCCAAGGGUAUGGCUGUUCGCCAUUUAAAGUGGUACGCGAGCUGGGUUUAGAACGUCGUGAGACAGUUCGGUCCCUAUCUGCCGUGGGCGCUGGAGAACUGAGGGGGGCUGCUCCUAGUACGAGAGGACCGGAGUGGACGCAUCACUGGUGUUCGGGUUGUCAUGCCAAUGGCACUGCCCGGUAGCUAAAUGCGGAAGAGAUAAGUGCUGAAAGCAUCUAAGCACGAAACUUGCCCCGAGAUGAGUUCUCCCUGAGACUUAAAGUCUCCUGAAGGAACGUUGAAGACGACGACGUUGAUAGGCCGGGUGUGUAAGCGCAGCGAUGCGUUGAGCUAACCGGUACUAAUGAACCGUGAGGCUUAACC